GCUGAAUGUGGCGCUGCCCCGGGAUCUGCGGUUGGCCUCCCUCUGCGCUCUGCUGAGGCCUCGCUCUCGCUUUUCAGGGCUCCUUGGACUCUGCUGCUUCACUAGCUCUGGAUCUUGAUGAUUUUCUCGUUCUAAUGCGCUGGCUCCAGUGGAGAAAUACUGUCUGGUGCUCCUCCUGGGCACGAUUUACUGAGGAGCUAACUGGACCAAGUGGGAACUGCUGCCUGAGACCAUCUCAAAUUUUUGGAACUGCAGACUGUCAUCAGCCCUCAAUUUCUCAGACUUCUGGAUGCUGAAAAUAUUAUAAAGACAAUGUAUUUUGUGCAUCACUGCCAAGGCAUUUUGGAUCGUUGUUUGGAAGCUAUGUACUUGUGUCAGUAGUUACUAGUCUAUAUUAACCCGUGGACUCCUGAAGGGUUUUCCAGUGAUGGGUCCCUCAGUAUAGGAAUUUAAAGCUGUGAACUACAGGCUGGCUUUUUUAGUUAACAAGAUACUUGGGAAGUAUUAUUCUUGUCCAUAGCAUUAUUGUCACCAGAAAUCCCCAGGCAGCAGGUUGAAAACCACUGAUGUUAGGCUACUCAAUUAAAAAAAUGAGAAGGGGAGCCGUGGCACUGCAGGAGGAGGAACCACAAGGUGGCAAUCUCUCUCCGUAAUUCUACUGGCAAAAUGAACCUGUGGCAGAAAAUCUGUUAGCAACUGAAGCUCCAGACCCGGCUGGUCACAUCUUGUAUCUUACAGGUUCACUGCAACAUUCACUUCAAUGCUAGGUUUUCUCUUCUGAAUAUUUCAUCCCUUAGGAUGAAAUUUUCAUGCUUGAAAGAGGUGGUAUGGGAGGCUGAUUUUUGCUAGCUUUUCCAUGGCUUUGCCCCAAAAUGGGCACCAGAUGUAGCUCGUUAGAUUGCUAACUACUAGUGCUGCUUUCAUGCGUGCUGACCAAGCUACUGUGUGCAGUGGAAUGGAUGUUUCCUCCUUCACUGAAAGCACAAACUGUCUGUAGCAGCUGGCUCAGAGUAUCUCUUCCUAUCCUAAUGUUAUAUUAAUGUACAAUAUGAUAAGAUCCAGCCUCAUGCAGUGAGAUGCUUAGGCAGGAACAAAAUAACCUGGGUGUUAGGACUAGGUUAUAACCAGUAGGUUGAAUGUGGCAUGUGGUCUGGAACAGCUUGAGAGAUGAGAGGAUUGAUUGCAAAGCCCUAGUGACAAUAGCUCCACUCUGGAAAAGAUGUGGCUGGAGCAUGUAAGAUGCGGAAGAGAAAUAAUGCUCAGUUUAGGGUGAAGCUAUCUUGGUCCUGCUGCAUCGAACACCAUCUGUUGCUAUGAGCUCUGUCUAGAUCAGGACCCAGCUGCAUUAUUGCCAAAUGUUAGCUUACAUGUGCUAUGUGUGAAAGUAAACUGGUGCGAAAGCUGUGGCUUGAUUUGCUUUCAGUAGGAUUUGCCCUGCACAAGUGACGACGUGCUAGCCAGCCUCUUGCUGAGAGGAUGCACUCCAGAAGUUACAGGUGUGUUGCUGGAGCAUGUUCAAUGAUUCAAAAUGGAAAUAUCUUCCAAAGCUUCAAACAAGACAAAACAAACUGUGCUUUAACACAUGCUCAAUUGACUGAGUCUUUGGCAAAGUAUAACAUGAAUCUCUAAGGCUCUCACUGAGGCCUGUCCCAGCUGUAUCCUGCCUGCUGCAUCUUUGAGCAAGCAGUGAACUGCUGUGCUCAUUUUCUCCUUAUACUGCCGUCUCCUUCUUUUACCUGUUUUCUACUUAUGACAUUGCUCUUCUGUUAGGAAUAAUGUUGGUCCUCUAAGAAAGGGAGAGGGGCAGCCAGGGGAUUGCUACUGGGUGGAGGGGAAACGUUAGCAGUUCCAAAUCAUGAUGGGAAACAGCAGUAAAGAAAAUCUGGAUUUUUCCCCAGAAAGUGAGGAGAAAUCUAGCAAAAAUAUGGCUGGUGUCUCAUGGAGCAUGCGUGCAAAGUGAUCAUCACUAAUGCUGUGCAGCCAACUGAGAGCAGAUACUUUCCCCAAGUAAGAGAAAUAACCACUGAGAUGUGGGAUAUAUGAUAACUUCUUGAGCAGAAGGAAUAAGACCCCAGGCAAGGGAACUCUGAACAUUGCACUGUACUUUUUUUUUUCCAUCUAUGACUCUGCGGUGUUUAAUUAAACCCUGUUUUCUUUAUCCCAGAAACAAUCAUUGCAGGUUUGUAAAGCUUUACCCAAGCCCUCUGGGUGAUGACUUGUUAAGCACUUAGUUUGUGAUAACCAGUUUUCUCCUGAAAUGAUACCACAAGUCUGCUGUUUCAGGUUAAAGCUGAUUUCCAAGUAUUUUGGUUAAUGGCUGAAGACAAUCCGCUUCAAGAGAAUCUAACUCGAGGAAGCCAUGAAAUGUAAUUCAUUUCUGCAACCUAAAUAUAUAAUCAGCGACAUAUGGCAAUACUAAAUGGGGGGGGAGUCAUUGUUUAAAUCAAAUUUCUGCAUUCAGUCAAAAACCAAUAGCUGUAACAUCAAACUAUAGUUUCCAUUGUACAGGAAAUAAAGCAUCACUUUGUCAAAGAAAA
Long non-coding RNA from Struthio camelus australis, 2537 nucleotides. RefSeq lists it as uncharacterized. Lineage: Eukaryota; Metazoa; Chordata; Aves; Struthioniformes; Struthionidae. The record is from RefSeq and is a predicted model, not a curated record.